UUUCCGUAGGUGAACCUGCGGAGGGAUCAUUACAGAGUUCUCGCCCUCGCGGGUAGAUCUCCCACCCACUGUUAUCGUUACUGUGUUGCUUUGGCGGGCCGCCGGGCCCCGCUCGGCCGCCGGCUCCGGCUGGCUCGCGCCCGCCAGAGGCCCAGCAAACUCUGAAUGUUAGUGUCGUCUGAGUACUAUAUAAUAGUUAAAACUUUCAACAACGGAUCUCUUGGUUCUG
This 229-nucleotide unclassified non-coding RNA is filed under the name plant metagenome. RNAcentral describes it as "partial contains small subunit ribosomal RNA, internal transcribed spacer 1, and 5.8S ribosomal RNA". The record is from RNAcentral.